UAAUGUAUGGGAAUCUGCCCGAUAGAGGGGGAUAACUACUGGAAACGGUGGCUAAUACCGCAUAAUGUCUACGGACCAAAGCAGGGGCUCUUCGGACCUUGCACUAUCGGAUGAACCCAUAUGGGAUUAGCUAGUAGGUGGGGUAAAGGCUCACCUAGGCGACGAUCUCUAGCUGGUCUGAGAGGAUGAUCAGCCACACUGGGACUGAGACACGGCCCAG
RNAcentral lists this ribosomal RNA (220 nucleotides) under uncultured bacterium. Its description in RNAcentral is "partial 16S ribosomal RNA". It matches the Rfam family "Bacterial small subunit ribosomal RNA", at positions 111 to 334 of the family's 1533-position model. The record is from RNAcentral.